GAUGAACGCUGGCGGCGUGCCUAAUACAUGCAAGUCGAGCGAACAGAUGAGGAGCUUGCUCCUCUGACGUUAGCGGCGGACGGGUGAGUAACACGUGGAUAACCUACCUAUAAGACUGGGAUAACUUCGGGAAACCGGAGCUAAUACCGGAUAAUAUAUUGAACCGCAUGGUUCAAUAGUGAAAGACGGUUUUGCUGUCACUUAUAGAUGGAUCCGCGCCGCAUUAGCUGGUUGGUAAGGUAACGGCUUACCAAGGCAACGAUGCGUAGCCGACCUGAGAGGGUGAUCGGCCACACUGGAACGGAGACACGGUCAAGACUACUACGGGAGGCAGCAGUAGGGAAUCGUCCGCAAUGGGCGAAAGCAUGACGGAGCAACGCCGCGUGAGUGAUGAAGGUCUUCGGAUCGUAAAACUCUGUUAUUAGGGAAGAACAAAUGUGUAAGUAACUAUGCACGUCUUGACGGUACCUAAUCAGAAAGCCACGGCUAACUACGUG
Molecule: ribosomal RNA, 497 nt
Filed under: uncultured bacterium
Lineage: Bacteria
Description: partial 16S ribosomal RNA
Rfam family: Bacterial small subunit ribosomal RNA
Source: RNAcentral